This 337-nucleotide long non-coding RNA is filed under the name Phoenix dactylifera (date palm). Its description in RNAcentral is "long non-coding RNA (PDAC_LNC006415)". The record is from RNAcentral. Lineage: Eukaryota; Viridiplantae; Streptophyta; Magnoliopsida; Arecales; Arecaceae.
AAGAUUCUACCAAAAAUCUAUUUAUUGCCUCCAUAUUGAAUUUAAACUAAAAUCAAGGUUAAAAUAGUUCAUUUGAUGACCUUGGGCAAAGGAAUAUACUUCGGAUUGGAUUUUAGAUCUAAAUUAAGCUCAUUAAUGGUUAGGCUUGUGACUGAUCAUAGCUUAGAUAAGGGCUUAGAUCAUGAUUGUGCUUAUGAUAAAAUCAAGUUUGACUAAAGCUAUCACUUUCAUUAAAAGACUGAAAGAAAAGAACAAAGUUGUCGAUCAAUCAUACAAUUUAAUAGGUUAAGCACAAAAAUCAAGGAUUGAAUUUUUUUUGUAUUAUUUUUCUUCCAUC